Long non-coding RNA from Tachysurus fulvidraco (yellow catfish), 846 nucleotides. RefSeq lists it as uncharacterized. The record is from RefSeq and is a predicted model, not a curated record. NCBI's taxonomy places the organism in Eukaryota, Metazoa, Chordata, Actinopteri, Siluriformes, Bagridae. The transcript has 3 exons.
GGCGGAGUCAGACAGGUAAUAACCUGCUCUUAUUCUGUAUGAUGCUGCUGCAGCUGCCGUCUGCUCUCUAGACACUAAAGUGCCAACCUGACUCAUUUGGCGUGUAUGUGUGUGUGUGUGUGUGUGCGUGUGUGUGCGUGUGUGUGUAUGUGUGUGUAUGUGUGUGUAUCAUCAUUGAAGAUUUGCUUUAUUCAAACUCAUAACUCUUGAAAAUUUCUCUUCCAUUUACAGUAGCGCUCUCUCUCUCUCUCUCUCUCUCUCCCUCUCUCUCUCUCUCUCUGUGCAUUGUGACCUUGCUGCCAGGCACCGCAGGCUUGUCGAAGUGUGUGUUCAAUCAAGAGCUAUUUUUUCUCUCCAACACACAGUGAAGAAUGAUGAGACUUGGACACAACAGGAAGCUUAAACACCUGCAGGAUGGAAGUUUCUAGAACAGCCCGAUCCUCUCCCUUAGACAGCGUACAGCAGUCCACCCUCAGCCACAUGAAGACCUCAGGCUUCAACAAGGGUCAAAGUACAUCAGCUGAGUCCCAGAGAGCCUUAAGUCCAUGCCAGGGGACUCGGAGCACUAGGUGUGGAUCCCCCUGCAUGUGGUGCUAACCCAUGGCAAGGACGUUACCUCACACCGUAUCCCCUCUCAGUCCUGCUUUCUAUUUCAUUCUCCUCCAAAACUUCACAUCUCCAGACCUCUUCAUCUACAGAUCAGUAGCCCAAGAGAAACAUCCUGAAGUCUACACUAAUUUCUCUUUCAUUUACAGUAGCUCUCUCACAGCUCUCUCUCUCUCUCUCUCUCUCUCUCUCUCUCUCUCUCUCUCUCUCUCUCUCUCUCUCCAAAUAAAACCUGCUUUU